Molecule: ribosomal RNA, 305 nt
Filed under: uncultured bacterium
Lineage: Bacteria
Description: bacterial SSU rRNA
Rfam family: Bacterial small subunit ribosomal RNA
Source: RNAcentral
GGCAUCCUACGGGGGGCAGCAGUGAGGAAUAUUGGUCAAUGGGCGAGAGCCUGAACCAGCCAAGUCGCGUGAGGGAAGACGGUCCUAUGGAUUGUAAACCUCUUUUGUCGGGGAGCAAAAAGGCCUCGUGAGGCCACAAGUGAGAGUACCCGAAGAAAAAGCAUCGGCUAACUCCGUGCCAGCAGCCGCGGUAAUACGGAGGAUGCGAGCGUUAUCCGGAUUUAUUGGGUUUAAAGGGUGCGUAGGCGGGUUAUCAAGUCAGCGGUAAAAUCGUGGAGCUCAACUCCAUCCAGCCGUUGAAACUG